Molecule: ribosomal RNA, 261 nt
Filed under: uncultured prokaryote
Description: partial 16S ribosomal RNA
Rfam family: Bacterial small subunit ribosomal RNA
Source: RNAcentral
UACGUAGGUGGCGAGCGUUAUCCGGAAUUAUUGGGCGUAAAGAGCGCGCAGGUGGUUGAUUAAGUCUGAUGUGAAAGCCCACGGCUCAACCGUGGAAGGUCAUUGGAAACUGGGUCACUUGAAUAUAGAAGAGGAAAGUGGAAUUCCAUGUGUAGCGGUGAAAUGCGUAGAUAUAUGGAGGAACACCAGUGGCGAAGGCGGCUUCCUGGUCUGUAACUGACACUGAGGCGCGAAAGCGUGGGGAGCAAACAGGAUUAGAUA